This 270-nucleotide ribosomal RNA is filed under the name uncultured archaeon. RNAcentral describes it as "partial 16S ribosomal RNA". It matches the Rfam family "Archaeal small subunit ribosomal RNA", at positions 477 to 747 of the family's 1478-position model. The record is from RNAcentral.
CUGCAGCCCGAGUGGUGAUCGAUUUUAUUGAGCCUAAAGCGUCCGUAGCCGGUCUGGUAAAUUCUUGGGUAAAUCGAGCAGCUCAACUGUCCGAAUUCCGAGGAGACUGCCAGACUUGGGACCGGGAGAGGUCAGAGGUACUCCAGGGGUAGGGGCUAAAUCCUGUAAUCCUUGGGGGACCACCAGUGGCGAAGGCGUCUGACUAGAACGGAUUCGACGGUAAGGGACGAAACCCUGGGGCGCAAACCGGAUUAGAUACCCGAGUAGUCC